This 327-nucleotide ribosomal RNA is filed under the name Triticum aestivum (bread wheat). Its description in RNAcentral is "partial small subunit ribosomal RNA". The record is from RNAcentral. Lineage: Eukaryota; Viridiplantae; Streptophyta; Magnoliopsida; Poales; Poaceae.
AUGUACACAAGCAAGAAAACUGCAGACGAGAAGGAAAAUAAGUUUCUCUCCGUGGUUCACUUGCCGUUGUUCUCUGUCCACGAGACAGAGCUUCAGUCUCUCAUAACUCGUAAUAGGUCGAUGUACUAUCACCUGCAUCCGUCAUCUACUCGUGGAGCUCUUGAGAUACUUCAGAUACAACACAAUGGCCUACGUGUCCAAAUGUCAGGGUUAUAUUCAACAAUUGUAGAAAGCUGUAGAAAAUAUAAUACACAAUUUUUUCUUGCAUAUAUAGAUUUACUUGAUAUUUUUAGUGAUCAAACAAUUUGGUAUUCAGUGUUUACUUGA